Molecule: ribosomal RNA, 253 nt
Filed under: uncultured bacterium
Lineage: Bacteria
Description: partial 16S ribosomal RNA
Rfam family: Bacterial small subunit ribosomal RNA
Source: RNAcentral
GACGGAGGGGGCUAGCGUUGUUCGGAAUUACUGGGCGUAAAGGGUGCGUAGGCGGUCGGGUAAGUCUGAUGUGAAAUCUCACAGCUUAACUGUGAAACUGCAUUGGAUACUAUCCGGCUCGAGGAAUGGAGGGGAGACUGGAAUACUUGGUGUAGCAGUGAAAUGCGUAGAUAUCAAGUGGAACACCAGUGGCGAAGGCGAGUCUCUGGACAUUUCCUGACGCUGAGGCACGAAAGCCAGGGGAGCAAACGGG